AGUGAACGCUGGCGGUAGGCCUAACACAUGCAAGUCGAACGGCAGCACAGUAAGAGCUUGCUCUUACGGGUGGCGAGUGGCGGACGGGUGAGGAAUACAUCGGAAUCUACUUUUUCGUGGGGGAUAACGUAGGGAAACUUACGCUAAUACCGCAUACGACCUACGGGUGAAAGCAGGGGAUCUUCGGACCUUGCGCGAUUGAAUGAGCCGAUGUCGGAUUAGCUAGUUGGCGGGGUAAAGGCCCACCAAGGCGACGAUCCGUAGCUGGUCUGAGAGGAUGAUCAGCCACACUGGAACUGAUGCACGGUCCAGACUCCUACGGGAGGCAGCAGUGGGGACUAUUGGACAAUGGGCGCAAGCCUGAUCCAGCCAUACCGCGUGGGUGAAGAAGGCCUUCGGGUUGUAAAGCCCUUUUGUUGGGAAAGAAAAGCAGCAGGUUAAUACCCCGCUGUUCUGACGGUACCCAAAGAAUAAGCACCGGCUAACUUCGUG
Molecule: ribosomal RNA, 492 nt
Filed under: uncultured bacterium
Lineage: Bacteria
Description: partial 16S ribosomal RNA
Rfam family: Bacterial small subunit ribosomal RNA
Source: RNAcentral